RNAcentral lists this unclassified non-coding RNA (308 nucleotides) under Hevea brasiliensis (rubber tree). The record is from RNAcentral. Lineage: Eukaryota; Viridiplantae; Streptophyta; Magnoliopsida; Malpighiales; Euphorbiaceae.
GCAAACCAGUAAACAAACCGAAGAGGUCAUAAUACAUUAUCUGAGGAUGUUUUGGUGCUUCACUGUGAUCUGUAAAUAGUAGCAUUUCUAGAAGAGGAGAAGGAAAAAGUGAUCCACCUGGAACUGAAAAAUAAUUUCACAAGUCAGGGCUAUGUUGGAGAAUUGUAUGAUUAACACAUAUGUGUCUAAAAUUCGCGUCUUAACAUGGUCAAAGCAAAAUGUUGGCCAGCAGAAUCUUUUUUCACCGCUAGGCUAAGCAUACACUUGUGCUAAAGUCCAUCAAUGAAUUCGUACAUAUUUGAUAUCCU